This 279-nucleotide ribosomal RNA is filed under the name uncultured bacterium. RNAcentral's name for it is "partial 16S ribosomal RNA". It matches the Rfam family "Bacterial small subunit ribosomal RNA", at positions 524 to 796 of the family's 1533-position model. The record is from RNAcentral.
UACGGGAGGGUGCGAGCGUUAAUCGGAAUUACUGGGCGUAAAGCGCACGCAGGCGGCUUGUUAAGCUAGAGGUGAAAGCCCCCGCGCUCAACGUGGGAACUGCCUUUAGAACUGGCAGGCUAGAGUCUUGGAGAGGGGAGUGGAAGUUCCAGGUGUAGCGGUGAAAUGCGUAGAUAUCUGGAGGAACAUCAGUGGCGAAGGCCGGCUCCCUGGCCAAAGACUGACGCUCAUGUGCGGAAAGUGUGGGUAGCGAACCAGGAUUAGAUACCCGCGUAGUCC